AUUGCUGGUAUCUCUUUGAAGSAGGUGGUUUGCCUCCGCAGCCUCGCUUAGCGUGGCAGAGCACCCGCCAGCCCUGCUUCCCUGCGCCCUCCUUGCUGCUGGCCUGCUCCACGCUUGCUCUGGGCUGUGCUUUCCCAGCCUGAGCUCUCCUGUGCUUUCUUAUCCACAGCCUCCUGCGCCCGAGAGCCAUGAGCUGUUCUCCAUCUCCGGAGAGCCAGCGGAGCAGCCCCCCUUCCUCGGCCUCUCGGCUCUGCUAGACGCCGUUGCUCCGAGGAGAAAGUCGCCCAUCGCUGGAGGRCAGCGCUGGCUGCGCCCGGGGUCUCGCCUCCCUCCCAAGGRAAGCGUGUCCAGGGUUAACGGAGCUGCACCACGUUGGGUCCCAUGAGACAGGCGAGACAGCCCUGUCCUUCCUGCCUGGGCCCGGGGACACAGCACCAUCCUCUUCCUCCUCUGCGUGGGCAGCCCCUCUGCUUUCUGAAACGAAGCYGUGAAGGUCUGCUGCAACGGUAGGUCCUCGGACUUUUCCCUUCUUGCCAGCCGUGUCUC
This 546-nucleotide long non-coding RNA is filed under the name Dromaius novaehollandiae (emu). RNAcentral's name for it is "lncRNA (ENSDNVG00000002130.1)". Lineage: Eukaryota; Metazoa; Chordata; Aves; Casuariiformes; Dromaiidae. The record is from RNAcentral.